Molecule: long non-coding RNA, 4094 nt
Organism: Oncorhynchus tshawytscha (Chinook salmon)
Lineage: Eukaryota; Metazoa; Chordata; Actinopteri; Salmoniformes; Salmonidae
Source: Ensembl
AACUUUGUAAGUGUAUGCAUCAUGUGUCAAAUUUUGGAACGCUCAACUCACCAUAGCCCCGCCUCCUCAGUUCCGGCAUUUUGGCUCCGGAAGUACCGUACUUUUUUGGUUCACAGGAAAAGGAAAAAAAACUGCUGUUGGGAAACAAAACAGCAAAGUGAGUUUUAGUGACGAAUGUGAUUAUUUUAUAGUUUUACUAUAGUAAUACGUAUCAUAAUAAUUUACGAGAUGUGAUUUAGUUUUGCAUCUUACUUUGCUUCUUGCGCAUUUACAGCUAGCCAACAUGAGCUAGCUAACUCGCAACGACGCUAUGCUGUCGUUUAACGGUAAUUCCCAAGUGUCUUAUCUUCUGCAAGCAAAGUGGUUUGUUUGCAAUCGAUUCCACAACAACUAGCGUGCUAAUGUCAUCCUGCAUCGUGAAUGGAUGGGAGUUUGUUAUUGGAGUAACUAGCUAGAAUGCCUGCCCCUAAAAGACACAAGUCUUUUCAGGCUCCUCAAGCGAAGAGAAGAAAGGAGGAUCAGAACGAAGUCGCCAUGCCAUCCAACAAAACGACACCAGCCUCUGCAACGUCAAGCAACCCCCAAAGAGAAGCACCUUUGUGGAGAAGGAAUAAGAAAAAGCCCCCUGCAGAACUAAAAGAGGGAAAUAAACCUGCAGGGUCCAGCCGCCAUUCCUCCAAGACAAAAUCAACUCAAAAGGCCAGGACUAGGACCAAGUUCAAUCCACCUGUAAAGAACGCCAAGCUGCUGAAAGCCACAAGUGCCUCCUCAAAGAAUCCCAACUCUAAAGGAACCCUAAAAAGACCAGCCAAGAUCUUCAAAACUGCUUCCACAGAGUCCGAUGAGGAGCUUAUCAGAACUCAUAAACCACAUUGCAUCAGAAAAUACUCUAAUGGGGAUCGAGGUAAGCGUAAAGGGUCACAGUCUAACCUGAAUGAAGAAGUAUUGCUCUCAGACCCUGUGCAGAGGGAUCACAAUUAUGGUAUACCCUCUGCGUCUUAUGGUAGUCAUUCUGAAAUUGAGGAAAAUAAAAGGAAAAGAGUCAGAGAGUCCACCAGAGGCCCAGAGACCCAGAGAGAUGUGAAGAUGGAAACUCAAAUGUCUUCAGAACCCUUACCUGAACAAUCUGGACAGAUGAAGCGGAGCAGUGAGACGUAUGAGGUGCAGGAUAAUUCCAUGACCACCCCAACAGAUGAAUUUAGUGAGAGUGUCAACACUAAGCCUGACAUAAAAAUGUCUCCUCCAGCAUCCCCUGAGAAAGCUUCAGACCCCAUCCAUAAGCAGGUGAACCAGAAUAAUUCCAUUACCACCCCAACAGAUGAAUUUAGUGAGUAUGUCAACACCGAGCCUGACACACAAAUGUAUCCUCCAGCUUCCCCUGAGAAAGCUUCAGACCCCAUCCAUAAGCAGGUGAACCAGAGUAGAGAGAAACAUGAGGAGCAGAAUGAUUCCGUGACCAUCCCUACAUAUCAAGUUAGUGAGAGUGUAGCGAGCAAGAUGGAUGCAUAUAAAAAGUCUGCAGACCCCAUACCUGAACUACUAAAACAGAGCACUGAGACACAGGAAAUGCAGGAAAAUUCCAUGACCACCUAUACAGAUAAAGUUAAUGAACAUUUAGAGACUAAGGUCGGUGCAAAAAUAUUGUCUCAUCCAGCCAUCGGCUUAGUAGCAUAUAGUAGCAGUAGUGAUUCUGAAUGUGAAAGUGAGGGAAAUGACAGGACGGGAGUCACAGAGUCAAUAGAUGUGAAGAUGAAAACUCAAGCAUCUUCAGAGAAGGCUUCAGACCCUGUCCCUGAACAGGUGAAGGAGAGCAGUGAGACGAGGCAGAUGCAGGAGGAUCCCAUGACCACCCCUACAUAUGAAGUUACCGAGGAUUCCAUGACCUCCCCUACAUAUGAAGUUACCGAGGAUUCCAUGACCUCCCCUACUGAGAGUGUAGACCCCAAGCUUGAUGCAAAUAUAAAGCCUCCUCCAUCUAUAGAAGUAUAUUCAGAGGAGGCUUCAGACCCUGUCCCUGAACAGGUGAAUCCUGAACAGGUGAAUCAGAUAUACAUUGAAAUAGAGAAGGUGCAGGAAGAUUCCAUGACCACCCCAACAGAUGAAGUACGUGAACUUUUAGAUGGCACGCUUGAUGCAGAAGUAAUGUCCCUGCCACCUUUAGAAGCAUCCUCUGAGGAGACCCAUACAUUUGAAGUUAGUGAGAGUGUAGAGACCAAGUGUUCAGAACUUGCACCUGAACAUGUGACGCAGAGCACUGAGAUGCAGGGAGAUUCCGCGCCAACCCAUGCAGUUCAAGUAAGUGAGAGUGUAGACACCAAGCUUGAUAUUGAAGUAAAUUCUGCUCCACCUGUAGAACUAUCCUCUGAGGAGACUUCAGACAUUGUCUCUGUCUCAGAGCAGGUGCUGCAGAGCAGUGAGACACAGGAAGUCCAGGAAGAUUCCAUGACCACCCGUACAGAUGAACUUAGGGAAAGUUUAGGAACAAAGUCGGGUGCUAAAAUAAAGUCUCCACCCUUAGAGGUGCUUUUCAGUGCUCUAAAGGAGUCCAGUCUUUGCAAACAUCCCCUGUCUCAUACGAUGCGCUCAAAUGUCAAAGAGUUUCUGGGAGUAGAGGAUUCUUUAGAAAUCACUAAAAAAGACUGUGACUUUGGUGUAACGGAGAGCAUUGAGUGUACUUUAGACCUCGAGACUCCGAUUAUUGUCGAGGAUAUGGAGAUCGGCCACUGUGUUGUGGAGGUGGUGGGAGAGAAUGGAGAGGAGGUGGAUAGUGAUCUGGAAAUCAUAGACAACUCUGAGAGGCCAGAGAAGACACUUGAGCUAACCAAAGGGUCUGAAGAAGAGUGCAGUGUGGAUAAAAGUGAAGAUGGUAUUGAAAAGAAAGGCACAAGUUCCUCUAACCAAGACAGCACAAAUAGUGGGAAGAAGGAAGUUACUAAAAAAACACAGGGUAGCCUGGAAAAACCCAAGAAACAGCAGAUGAACCCUCAGGCCCGGACCAAAGCCCGACUAGCAGCGCUAGCUGAGCAAAAGGCAGCUGGCUCCAAAAAAGCGAGCAGGCAGCUCAACCUCCUGGCCCUAUGUGAAGAAAUAGCAGAUGAUAUCGCCACUGACACAAUGUUAAUAAAGACGAAGGAGGAGGAGGAGCAGGUUGUAAUAAUUAAGGCUGAACCCAGCAAGGAGCCAGAAUGCACACCGCCUGUCACACAGGCUGAGACUGUUCCGAUACCUCCUACUCCUGCCCGGCCCGAGGAACCGUCUCCAGCAGUAGAACCCUCCGCUGAGGAGCCUGCUCCAGCCAAGCCCCCAGCUCCAGAGCCACCUCGGAGGCGUUUCUUCAUCAGCCAAGUGACGGUACCCCUCAAAAUCCACGAGAAGAAGAAGCUUACCAGGUUCCAGAGGCUGCGGCAGGUGGAACUGCAGCGGGAGAAGAAUAUGUCCUGGACCAUGGUGAAGAAGCUCAAGUCCGAUCAGAAGAUGAUUCCAGAGACUGAGACUAAACCUUCCCCUCCAGCAGCAGCACCUCUCCAAGUGACCACCCCCCCCCCCCUCAACCAGUCCAGCUGCACUCUCCUCAACCAGUCAAGUUGAGCCCCCAAAAGUUGAGCCCCCAAAAGUUGAGCCCCCAAAAGUUGAGCCCCCAAAAGAGCCCCAAAAAGUUGAGCCCCCGAAAGUGACCCCCAGUAAGGGACCCACCCUGAGAAAGAGGACGCUUCCAGCAGAACCCCCGCCGAUGCCCAACGGGCUGAAAGCUCAGAAGGCCAAGCCUGUGGUGGAGUAUAAGCCUUACAAAUCCAGGCCCAAGUACUCCUUUGAUGACUUUGAAUGUGAUGACGAGCCGAAACCCACAGUGCAGAAGGCAGCAGUGAGACCUACAGCUACUACUAUUCAGAGGGCAGCAGUUAAACCUACCGCCGUUCAGCGGGCAGCAGUGAGACCUACCGCCGUUCAGAGGGCAGCAGUGAGACCUACCGCCAUUCAGAGGGCAGCAGUGAGACCUGCCGCCGUUCAGAGGGCAGCAGUGAGACCUGCCGCCGUUCAGAGGGCAGCAGUGACACCUGCCGCCGUUCAGAGGGCAGCAGUGACACAUGCCGCCG